RNAcentral lists this ribosomal RNA (1465 nucleotides) under metagenome. RNAcentral describes it as "bacterial SSU rRNA". It matches the Rfam family "Bacterial small subunit ribosomal RNA". The record is from RNAcentral.
AGAGUUUGAUCCUGGCUCAGAGCGAACGCUAGCGGCACGCUUAACACAUGCAAGUCGAACGGAAGUCGAUGUACUUGUACAUUGGCUUUAGUGGCAAACGGGUGAGUAAUGUAUAGGAAUCUGCCCUUUUGAGGGGGAUAGUUACGGGAAACUGUAGAUAAUACCCCAUAAGCUCGAAAGAGGAAAGGUCGAAAGAUCGCUGAAGGAGGAGCCUAUAUCGGAUUAGAUUGUUGGUGAGGUAAUGGCUUACCAAGUCUAUGAUCCGUAACUGGUCUGAGAGGAUGACCAGUCACACUGGGACUGAGAUACGGCCCAGACUUCUACGGAAGGCAGCAGUGAGGAAUUUUGGACAAUGGGGGAAACCCUGAUCCAGCGAUGUCGCGUGUAUGAUGAAGGCCAUUUGGUUGUAAAGUACUUUCGUCGGUGAAGAUAAUGACGGUAACCGAAAAAGAAGCUCCGGCUAACUUCGUGCCAGCAGCCGCGGUAAUACGAAGGGAGCAAGCGUUGCUCGGAAUAAUUGGGCGUAAAGGGUGCGUAGGUGGUUUUUUAAGUGAGAUGUUAAAGACUCGGACUCAAUCUGAGGGGUGCAUUUCAUACUGAAAAACUCGAGUGUGGGAGAGGAAACAGGAAUUCCUCAUGUAGAGGUGAAAUUCGUAGAUAUGAGGAGGAACACCAAAGGCGAAGGCAAGUUUCUGGAACACAACUGACACUAAGGCACGAAAGCGUGGGGAGCAAACAGGAUUAGAUACCCUGGUAGUCCACGCCCUAAACGAUGACUGCUAAACGUCGGGAAUGAACAGUUCUCGGUGUUGAAGCUAACGCGUUAAGCAGUCCGCCUGGGGAGUACGGUCGCAAGACUAAAACUCAAAGGAAUUGACGGGGACCCGCACAAGCGGUGGAGCAUGUGGUUUAAUUCGAUAAUCCGCGAAAAACCUUACCAGCUCUUGACAUGGAAGUCGCGAGUCUGAGAGAUCAGACUUUUCGGUUCGGCCGGACUUCGCACAGGUGGUGCAUGGCUGUCGUCAGCUCGUGUCGUGAGAUGUUGGGUUAAGUCCUUUAACGGGCGCAACCCCUAUCUUUAGUUGCUAACAGGUAAAGCUGAGAACUUUAAAGAGACUGCCAGUGAUAAACUGGAGGAAGGUGGGGAUGAUGUCAAGUCCUCAUGCCCCUUAUGAGCUGGGCUACACACGUGCUACAAUGGCGACUACAAUAGGUUGCAAAGGGGUGACCCUGAGCCAAUCCAUAAAAGUCGUCUCAGUUCGGAUUGUUCUCUGCAACUCGAGAACAUGAAGUUGGAAUCGCUAGUAAUCGCAGAUCAGCACGCUGCGGUGAAUACGUUCACGGGUCUUGUACACACCGCCCGUCAAGCCACGGGAAUUGGUUUCACCCAAAGACUAUGAGCUAACCGUAAGGAGGCAGUAGGUUAAGGUGAGAUUGGUGACUGGGGUUAAGUCGGAACAAGGUA